CGCGAGCUGGGUUCAGAACGUCGUGAGACAGUUCGGUCCCUAUCCGUCGCGGGCGUAGGAAAUUUGAGAGGAUCUGCUCCUAGUACGAGAGGACCAGAGUGGACUUACCGCUGGUGUACCAGUUGUCUUGCCAAAGGCAUCGCUGGGUAGCUAUGUAGGGAAGGGAUAAACGCUGAAAGCAUCUAAGUGUGAAGCCCACCUCAAGAUGAGAUUUCCCAUGAUUUUAUAUCAGUAAGAGCCCUGAGAGAUGAUCAGGUAGAUAGGUUAGAAGUGGAAGUGUGGUGACACAUGUAGCGGACUAAUACUAAUAGCUCGAGGACUUAUCCAAA
RNAcentral lists this ribosomal RNA (329 nucleotides) under Streptococcus thermophilus TH985. Its description in RNAcentral is "bacterial LSU rRNA". It matches the Rfam family "Bacterial large subunit ribosomal RNA", at positions 2599 to 2925 of the family's 2925-position model. Lineage: Bacteria; Bacillati; Bacillota; Bacilli; Lactobacillales; Streptococcaceae. The record is from RNAcentral.